AGUAACACGUGGAUAACCUACCUAUAAGACUGGGAUAACUUCGGGAAACCGGAGCUAAUACCGGAUAAUAUUUUGAACCGCAUGGUUCAAAAGUGAAAGAUGGUCUUGCUGUCACUUAUAGAUGGAUCCGCGCUGCAUUAGCUAGUUGGUAAGGUAACGGCUUACCAAGGCAACGAUGCAUAGCCGACCUGAGAGGGUGAUCGGCCACACUGGAACUGAGACACGGUCCAG
This 231-nucleotide ribosomal RNA is filed under the name uncultured Staphylococcus sp. Its description in RNAcentral is "partial 16S ribosomal RNA". It matches the Rfam family "Bacterial small subunit ribosomal RNA", at positions 109 to 334 of the family's 1533-position model. Lineage: Bacteria; Bacillati; Bacillota; Bacilli; Caryophanales; Staphylococcaceae. The record is from RNAcentral.